GGAAGCUAAGCAGGGUCGGGCCUGGUUAGUACCAGGAUGGGAGAAACAUGGCACAGUACUGAGAUGUCCUCCUACAGAACUAACUGUCCCACAGACUUCCGUG
This 103-nucleotide microRNA precursor is filed under the name Ochotona princeps (American pika). Its description in RNAcentral is "miRNA (ENSOPRG00000022931.1)". Lineage: Eukaryota; Metazoa; Chordata; Mammalia; Lagomorpha; Ochotonidae. The record is from RNAcentral.